UAGAGUUUGAUCCUGGCUCAGAAUCAACGCUGGCGGCGUGCCUAACACAUGCAAGUCGCACGAGAAAGGGGCUUCGGCUCUGAGUAAAGUGGCGCACGGGUGAGUAACACGUGAAUUAUCUACCUCCGAGUGGGGAAUAACUGAGAGAAAUCUUAGCUAAUACCGCAUAACACUUACGAGUCAAAGCAGCAAUGCGCUUGGAGAGGAGUUCGCGGCCGAUUAGUUAGUUGGCGGGGUAAUGGCCCACCAAGACGAUGAUCGGUAUCCGGCCUGAGAGGGCGCACGGACACACUGGAACUGAAACACGGUCCAGACUCCUACGGGAGGCAGCAGUGGGGAAUUUUGCGCAAUGGGGGAAACCCUGACGCAGCAACGCCGCGUGGAGGAUGAAAUCCCUUGGGAUGUAAACUCCUUUCGAUAGGGAAGAUUAUGACGGUACCUAUAGAAGAAGCCCCGGCUAACUUCGUGCCAGCAGCCGCGGUAAUACGAGGGGGGCAAGCGUUGUUCGGAAUUAUUGGGCGUAAAGGGCGCGUAGGCGGUUUGACAAGUCUGAUGUGAAAUCUCUGGGCUCAACCCAGAGUCUGCAUUAGAAACUGUCGGGCUUGAGUAUGGGAGAGGUGAGUGGAAUUUCCGGUGUAGCGGUGAAAUGCGUAGAUAUCGGAAGGAACACCUGUGGCGAAAGCGGCUCACUGGACCAUAACUGACGCUGAGGCGCGAAAGCUAGGGGAGCAAACAGGA
Molecule: ribosomal RNA, 738 nt
Filed under: bacterium enrichment culture clone PA_21
Lineage: Bacteria
Description: bacterial SSU rRNA
Rfam family: Bacterial small subunit ribosomal RNA
Source: RNAcentral